Molecule: ribosomal RNA, 230 nt
Filed under: uncultured bacterium
Lineage: Bacteria
Description: partial 16S ribosomal RNA
Rfam family: Bacterial small subunit ribosomal RNA
Source: RNAcentral
GAUCAUGGCUCAGGACGAACGCUGGCGGCGUGCUUAACACAUGCAAGUCGAACGAGAAUCUGCGGAAAGAGGAUUCGUCCAAUUGAAGCAGAGGACAGUGGCGGACGGGUGAGUAACGCGUGAGGAACCUGCCUUUCAGAGGGGGACAACAGUUGGAAACGACUGCUAAUACCGCAUGACACAUUGGGGUCGCAUGGCCUUAAUGUCAAAGAUUUAUCGCUGAAAGAUGG